This 859-nucleotide ribosomal RNA is filed under the name Salmonella enterica. RNAcentral describes it as "partial 23S ribosomal RNA". It matches the Rfam family "Bacterial large subunit ribosomal RNA", at positions 1944 to 2802 of the family's 2925-position model. The record is from RNAcentral. Lineage: Bacteria; Pseudomonadati; Pseudomonadota; Gammaproteobacteria; Enterobacterales; Enterobacteriaceae.
AACGGUCCUAAGGUAGCGAAAUUCCUUGUCGGGUAAGUUCCGACCUGCACGAAUGGCGUAAUGAUGGCCAGGCUGUCUCCACCCGAGACUCAGUGAAAUUGAACUCGCUGUGAAGAUGCAGUGUACCCGCGGCAAGACGGAAAGACCCCGUGAACCUUUACUAUAGCUUGACACUGAACAUUGAGCCUUGAUGUGUAGGAUAGGUGGGAGGCUUUGAAGUGUGGACGCCAGUCUGCAUGGAGCCGACCUUGAAAUACCACCCUUUAAUGUUUGAUGUUCUAACGUGGACCCGUUACCCGGGUUGCGGACAGUGUCUGGUGGGUAGUUUGACUGGGGCGGUCUCCUCCUAAAGAGUAACGGAGGAGCACGAAGGUUGGCUAAUCCUGGUCGGACAUCAGGAGGUUAGUGCAAUGGCAUAAGCCAGCUUGACUGCGAGCGUGACGGCGCGAGCAGGUGCGAAAGCAGGUCAUAGUGAUCCGGUGGUUCUGAAUGGAAGGGCCAUCGCUCAACGGAUAAAAGGUACUCCGGGGAUAACAGGCUGAUACCGCCCAAGAGUUCAUAUCGACGGCGGUGUUUGGCACCUCGAUGUCGGCUCAUCACAUCCUGGGGCUGAAGUAGGUCCCAAGGGUAUGGCUGUUCGCCAUUUAAAGUGGUACGCGAGCUGGGUUUAGAACGUCGUGAGACAGUUCGGUCCCUAUCUGCCGUGGGCGCUGGAGAACUGAGGGGGGCUGCUCCUAGUACGAGAGGACCGGAGUGGACGCAUCACUGGUGUUCGGGUUGUCAUGCCAAUGGCACUGCCCGGUAGCUAAAUGCGGAAGAGAUAAGUGCUGAAAGCAUCUAAGCACGAAACUUGCCCCGA